ACUUUUCAGAUUUUUUCCAAGGCCUGUCUCAAGGAACAUGGGAUAUAUUCACCCAGGAAUAGGUCGGCAGAUAUUAACGAGGCACCUUAUAACAUCUAAUUUAAAGCACACUUCCCUUGCAUGACUCCUACCUACAGGGCAUGUGACCACCCGUGAACCCAUGCUAGAGUUUUCCAGGUAUGUUCCUGUGAGGUCUUCAGUGAUUCACUGGAAGUACUCACAGAUCUCAGAAAACCUGUCAUGUUACAAUUAUAGUUUAUUAUAUAGCAAGAGGAUUCGUAUUGAAGUCAGCAAUGGAAAAAGGUACAUAGAGCAAACUCCAGCAGAAACCAAGCACAUGCUUCUAGUUCUCUUGCAGUUCAUGCAUGUGACCAGCCGAAUUCUCCCUGUUACAAGGUGAGACGACACGCAGACAGUGUUGCCAACCAGGAAGGCUCACCUGAGCUUUGGUGUCCAGGCGAACUGCCCAUGGGACUGACCUUCGGUCUCCAGUUCCUCCAGAGGUCAAGCUGAUACCACCACCAGGAGAGAGAAUCGGCUUGACUUGAGGAUGCCUCUCAAGGUAAAGUACUUCAUUUUUGGCCAAUACCAAAUAAAAUUAGGAGGUGCUUAAUGAUUUGGUCCAACAGAAAUCAAGAGGAAAAAAGUAAAGCAGCCAGUAAACCUUUCCGGAACAUUUGCUCAAUUGGCGUGAAGAGCUUAUACCCAAGCCUGAGACUGCUAGAAAUAGAUGCCUAAAGGUUUUUUUUAAUAGGAUACAUGUAAAUUCAUUAGCCUACAAUACUACAGAAUGCUACUCAAUAAAUAUUUCACUGCCUAACCAUUAUUUCCAAAAGUAUUUUGGUUAUCAAAAUGUUUGUUUCAGAAGGUUCUCACUAAAAAUGCUAAAGCUCAAAGACCAGUCAACUAAAAAUCUCCUAAGAAAGUGAAGCAACAAGAAUUUUGCCUAAAUAUGCAUACAUGAAACCAGAAUGACUCAAGUGUCAGGUCCAGUUGGGACCAUGUUGUAAAUUCAACAGGAAUUCAAUUCAUGAAUUUCCCAUCAUGUGAGGUAUCUGGAAGAUAUGUGAACACUGAAAACAACAAUGUCAAUACAAUUGAAUGCAGACAUUAAUAAACCUGUCAUUUGGAUCAGCAGAUAAUCUUGUAACUGAAUAUUUGGAUAUUUGGGGGAAGGAAAUGUACAAAUCAUCAAAGGCGGCAAAUUCCCUUCAGGAAUUGUGGUAUCCACACAUUGUAUCACAGGUUUGGUUUGACUGAAUAAUGCAUGAAGAUGUCUGUUUUAAAUUAUUCACUGACUACAGAGUUGACAAGUAACCACUGAAGAACCAGGAGAUUAGCCACCAGGAGCCUCCAUUUGAUGUCUGACUCAGUGAAGGCUGUUUUUUCUCUAGAGAAUGAGAGGUUCUAUGUAAUAUGAGACUAAGGAAGUAAGGUAGAGUCUGUGGUAUGCUCACAAGAUGUUGCUUUAAAUGUGCUGAUAGAAUUCUGGAGCCCACGAGUCUACAAAUGAGUGCCAUUGAAAUCCACACCUGGGUCUAUAGCACUUUGAUAUGUCAAAGGGGUAGGUUCUGCCAUUUUUCUCACUAAGUAUAUUGAAACAUAACACUACGUAAAAUUUAAAAUUACUCUGUAGGGUCAAAUGAGCAUUUUUUUAGAGAAUGAACAAUGUCCCUAGGAGAAGAGGGUGCUGUCUUUGUUGAAUUGACUCCAUUAUUUUUCAUGCAUGUUGUUUUCAAAAAUUUUUAGAGACGCUUUAAAAGAAGGGAGCUUCUCAAAUAAUGAUGGCUGUCAUUUAAUUAAUCCAUGAUAAAUAACACUGAUAAAAUAGAUAAAAAAUCGAAAGCUCAGAAUGGUUGAAGAACUUUCUCCAACAUCACAGAAGUAAGGUUCUUCUCUCCCAAAGCCUGCGCUACUUCCUGGUUGAUGGCAAUAUGCUGCCUAAUAGGACCUUAACAAGUCUUUCUCAUCAGCUGACCACGGGCCAAGAGCCUCUCUUCCCUAGUUCAAAUGGACUCUGCUGGAACUCUGUAAAGGACCGUGUCUCUGCAUCUUUACAUAUGCAACAUCUAUCACGGUGAUCAUUUAUCUUAAUAAAUUUGGUUUUCCUUUU
Molecule: long non-coding RNA, 2113 nt
Organism: Felis catus (domestic cat)
Lineage: Eukaryota; Metazoa; Chordata; Mammalia; Carnivora; Felidae
Exons: 3
Source: RefSeq, a predicted model, not a curated record